This 435-nucleotide ribosomal RNA is filed under the name uncultured bacterium. Its description in RNAcentral is "partial 16S ribosomal RNA". It matches the Rfam family "Bacterial small subunit ribosomal RNA", at positions 29 to 507 of the family's 1533-position model. The record is from RNAcentral.
AGCGAACGCUGGCGGCAGGCUUAACACAUGCAAGUCGAGCGGGCACUUUCGGGUGUCAGCGGCGGACGGGUGAGUAACGCGUGGGAACGUGCCCUCUGGUUCGGAAUAACUCAGGGAAACUUGAGCUAAUACCGGAUACGCCCUUUUGGGGAAAGGCUUGCUGCCGGAGGAUCGGCCCGCGUCUGAUUAGCUAGUUGGUGAGGUAACGGCUCACCAAGGCGACGAUCAGUAGCUGGUCUGAGAGGAUGAUCCGCCACACUGGGACUGAGACACGGCCCAGACUCCUACGGGAGGCAGCAGUGGGGAAUAUUGGACGAUGGGCGCAAGCCUGAUCCAGCCAUGCCGCGUGAGUGAUGAAGGCCUUAGGGUUGUAAAGCUCUUUUAUCCGGGACGAUAAUGACGGUACCGGAGGAAUAAGCCCCGGCUAACUUCGUG